UUGAACGCUGGCGGCAUGCCUUACACAUGCAAGUCGAACGGCAGCACGGGGGCAACCCUGGUGGCGAGUGGCGAACGGGUGAGUAAUGCAUCGGAACGUGCCCUGCAGUGGGGGAUAACGUAGCGAAAGUUACGCUAAUACCGCAUAUUCUGUGAGCAGGAAAGCAGGGGAUCGCAAGACCUUGCGCUUUAGGAGCGGCCGAUGUCGGAUUAGCUAGUUGGCGAGGUAAAGGCUCACCAAGGCAACGAUCCGUAGCGGGUCUGAGAGGAUGAUCCGCCACACUGGGACUGAGACACGGCCCAGACUCCUACGGGAGGCAGCAGUGGGGAAUUUUGGACAAUGGGCGCAAGCCUGAUCCAGCCAUGCCGCGUGAGUGAAGAAGGCCUUCGGGUUGUAAAGCUCUUUCAGCCGGGAAGAAAUCAUAUGGGUUAAUACCCUGUGUGGAUGACGGUACCGGAAUAAGAAGCACCGGCUAACUACGU
This 482-nucleotide ribosomal RNA is filed under the name uncultured bacterium. Its description in RNAcentral is "bacterial SSU rRNA". It matches the Rfam family "Bacterial small subunit ribosomal RNA", at positions 30 to 506 of the family's 1533-position model. The record is from RNAcentral.